UACAGAGGGGGCAAGCGUUGUUCGGAAUUACUGGGCGUAAAGGGCGCGUAGGCGGCCUUCUAAGUCGAACGUGAAAUCCCCGGGCUCAACCCGGGAACUGCGUCCGAUACUGGAAGGCUUGAAUCCGGGAGAGGGAUGCGGAAUUCCUGGUGUAGCGGUGGAAUGCGCAGAUAUCAGGAGGAACACCGGUGGCGAAGGCGGGUCUCUGGGCAGUAACUGACGCUGAGGAGCGAAAGCGUGGGGAGCGAACAGG
This 253-nucleotide ribosomal RNA is filed under the name uncultured bacterium. RNAcentral describes it as "partial 16S ribosomal RNA". It matches the Rfam family "Bacterial small subunit ribosomal RNA", at positions 524 to 776 of the family's 1533-position model. The record is from RNAcentral.